GAACCCUUCCUCUUUCACCCUCCUGUGCUCUGGCUCAGACAUUCAUCCCCCAAACUGCUGGAUUUUGAGGAGACCUAACUGAGGCCAGUGCUUGUCUGAUUAUCAGAAGACCAACCAUGAGCCUCAGCUGUGUGUGUUGUCAUCCUCUUCUGUUCCACCCACAAUACCCAAAGCAGGACCAGAGGCACCAGGACAAAAUCACAGAUGGGCGAUGACUUCGUGUGAGAAGAAACUGUCCACGUGUCCAGAGCAGAACAUCAAACAUAACAGAGGAAACUCACAGCCUCGCCUGUCUCUGGAGAUGAAACUACCAUGUGUAUUACCAGCCCACAAAGAAGCCAAAGUGAGGGAACAGAGGAUCCGAAUGAAAAGUGAAUCUCACAGCUCCUGGGGUGACUGCCUAGAAAAGCAACUCACUCACCAACCCCUUCAGAUCCAAUGGAUGGACAUGGAAAAAGUACCAUCUCAAGCAACUAAGUGCCUCCAACAGAGGGAAGAAGGUACCGUGGCAGAAGUUUGA
Molecule: long non-coding RNA, 520 nt
Filed under: Sus scrofa (pig)
Lineage: Eukaryota; Metazoa; Chordata; Mammalia; Artiodactyla; Suidae
Description: lncRNA (ENSSSCG00070024709.1)
Source: RNAcentral